CAACGUUCUGGGCGGCUUCACGCAAAGAUAAGCCGCAGAGGGUACCUGCGGCUCCUAGUCUGGUCCUGGCCAGCUUCUCCUGGAGCGUGAGGGCUGAGCUUUGCCAGAGUCGAAUGCCCUUAUCACUUCCACGCCCCCGGGGCCCCUUGCUUCCAUCUGCCCAAAGGUGCCCAGAAUCCAGGCUGCCUCGCAGCUCCAGCAAAGGCCAGGUACUCUGUGGGGGCUGGGAUAACAAAGACAAGAGCCACCCAGAUUCCUACCCAACUCCACCCAGAGGGGGCCCCAUCCACCAUUCCAGAGGCCCCUGUUCCUACAGCCUGGUGGGAGUUCCCUCGGGAACAGGCCUGGAGGUAUGAGCCACUUGACUGACAGAUGAGAGUUCACGUCCUGGGCUGGCAUACAGAGCCCCUGCCCCAAGUAAACAGUGGAUUGUGAGUCAGAAGACCUAAGUUCUAAAUCUGGCAUUCAUGUCAUCAAUCAGCUGUUGUGACCUGGGGCAGGUCACUUACCUUCCCCAGGCCUUAGUUACCCCUCCAUAAAAUGAGAAGCCUGGAGUAAAUGAUCUUUAAGGCCUCUUCCAACUCGGGUAUACGACUGUAGCCUAAUGCCAGGUAUAGACGUAGUAGGUGUUCAGGAAAUGUUUAUUUAGUAAUUUAACGAUAAGAUUCAAGGCAAGAUUCUGCAGGUCCCAGCACCCAUAUACUUCCUCACUAUGAGUUUUGCCUCUGCUGUUAGUUAAUUUGUGUCCAGUGCCAGCUCAACAGGUAUUAAACCAAGGGUCUAGGAUUUAUCCCGCUUACAAGCCAAUAAGCUAGCCUGCUGUUGUUUCAUAAAUGCUGGCAGAAGACGUGGCUUCCUGAGUCGGACACAAAGAAUUUGCCACUCCUGGCACAGGGAGCAGGGUCCCCUGCUCACGGAGAUAGUUUGUGCGGCACAACUUCGUCAUCAGCCCCGCACCCAGAUUCGGCCGCCAGCUGCCCGUCCUCGCUCCAGCCCUUCUCAAGACUGGUACCCUGAGAACAUUGAGACUGUCCCUCCAGGAGCUGCUGAGGGAUGCUGAGAGGAAAGCCCCAGAAUUGGCACCAGAAGACCUAGUUUUGAAUCUUCACAUUGAUACUCGCUAGUUCUGUUUCUCUGAGCAAGUUACAUAACUUUUCUGGAUCCCUGUAAUAACAGCUGAGAAUAAAAUACAGGAAAGUAUAUAUAAGCACUUUGAAUAUGGACCUGGAGCCAGCCACGCCUGGGCUGCUCCGUCAGCUCCUUGAACAUGUUCACCUCCCUUAACCCUCUGAAUCCUGGGUUCCCCACCAGCAAAUCAGAGUAUAUAGGAGCACCGGGCUGGCUCAGUUGGUAUUGCAUGUGACUCUUGAUCUUGGGGUCAGUGAGCUCAAGCCCCACACUGGGCGUAGAGCUUACUUAAAAAAAAAAAGUGCCUAGAGGGGUUCCUUGGUGGCUCAGUCGGUUAAGUGUCCGACUUUGGCUCAGGCCACCAUCUCGUGAUUCGUGAUUCCAGCCCCGCGUCGGGCUCUGUGCUGACAGCUCGGAGCCUGGAGCCUGCUUCAGAUUCUGUGUCUCCCUCUCUCACUGCCCCUCCCCUGCUUGCACUCUGUCUCUCUCUCUCUCAAAAAUAAAUACAUGUUAAAAUAAAAUUUAAAAAAACUGUGCCUACAGUAUAGUAGGCAUUCAAUUAACAACGAUU
Acinonyx jubatus (cheetah) is the source of this 1699-nucleotide long non-coding RNA. RefSeq lists it as uncharacterized. Lineage: Eukaryota; Metazoa; Chordata; Mammalia; Carnivora; Felidae. The record is from RefSeq and is a predicted model, not a curated record. The transcript is spliced from 3 exons.